AUGUCCCCGCUGCUGGUUUGGGAACCCUCUUCCAGAGACGUCCCUGCCUCGGGGACCAGAGCAUCACUUGAUGCAUUUCCAGCAGGAUCAGCCCCUCGGCAUCCCGUGCUGCAGCAGGGAUCCUCCCCCUGCUUCCCGGCACCGGGAAGGAGGCUCAGGGCAAAUCACGUCCCAAAAGGCAAUUAUCCCUCCUGCCGAUGCUCGCUGCUCCGUCCGAGCCGACGCGGUGCUCCAUUUGUCAUCGUUUGUGAGAGCAGCGAGGGGGGAGGCCACCGCCGAACGGGGAUUGAUUGCUUGGAUGCUGGCCGGGCUGGGCAGGCAGCCUGGGCUCUGGGAAAUGGCAAAUCAUUCCUGAACACGGGAGUCGUGUGCCGGGAUCCCGGCCACCCACCUCCAGCCUCUCCCGAGCCACUGGGAGGACUGGGCUGCUCCCAGGGCUGCCUGGAGGAGCACUGGGGGGCACGGGGCAGGUUUUGGGGGAGGAAAACAGCCAAAUGCCUUCCCUGCAGCUCCGGUGAUGCUUCCCAAUUUGCUUUCAGUAAAAGCCGUGAAGGAGCAUUGGGGAUUUGGGAGAAUAAAAGGAGGAAGCCUCACGUCUGCAGAUGCGCAGGACGCGGCGAGGCACAGCAGGAAAGAGGGGAACUGGCCACCAAAUUAGCAGCUGAUGGCCAGGCAACAGCUCUGGGGGCUCCUGCAAGCAGCUUGGAGCAGACACCUGCCCAGCAGUCAGAGGGAUUAGGGGAAAAACACAAAAAGAACCUUCCAAACCUAGCAAAAAGUUCAGUCCCACGCCAGGAAAACACAAAGGAAGAAGCACAAAAGAGCGCAGGGCAUUUUCUAGGGCCAUUACCCGAGGUUUGCAGCCCCUCUCAGCAGCGCUGUGCAGCUCUGGCUGCCUUCCUGGAAAAACUCCACGGCAAGAAAGGAAAAUGUCAGUGGGUAACGGGGACAGAGAGCGUGUUUUGUCAGGAGCAGAGGUCUCUGCGCUUGGAAAUAGAUGUCUCUUAA
Molecule: long non-coding RNA, 1008 nt
Filed under: Anas platyrhynchos platyrhynchos (common mallard)
Lineage: Eukaryota; Metazoa; Chordata; Aves; Anseriformes; Anatidae
Description: lncRNA (ENSAPLG00000024757.1)
Source: RNAcentral